This 56-nucleotide ribosomal RNA is filed under the name Voyria aphylla. RNAcentral's name for it is "partial 5.8S ribosomal RNA". Lineage: Eukaryota; Viridiplantae; Streptophyta; Magnoliopsida; Gentianales; Gentianaceae. The record is from RNAcentral.
ACGCAAGUUGCGCCCGAAGCCAUCAGGUUGAGGGCACGUCUGCCUGGGCGUCAAGC